This is a long non-coding RNA of Octopus sinensis (East Asian common octopus), 1077 nucleotides long. RefSeq lists it as uncharacterized. NCBI's taxonomy places the organism in Eukaryota, Metazoa, Mollusca, Cephalopoda, Octopoda, Octopodidae. The record is from RefSeq and is a predicted model, not a curated record. The transcript is spliced from 2 exons.
GGAGAGCCAAUCAGCGUUGAGCAAUUGCAACCGAUCAAGGCGGGAGAAUUGAAGGGCGAAAAACUAAAUAUAAAUAGAUGAACAUUAAAAUAAGUAGACAGAGGAAGCAAUUAGGGCAAAACGCAAAGCGUCUAGGAGGUUUGCCUGCUGAAUCUAGUAUGGAAAAUUGGACCCAUGUUUUGCUAAAAUCUUUGCAUGGGUUACCGGUAUUGCGGUCGAUACCGUCCCACACACAGAUGCUCACAUUAGCUACAGAUGACAACAACGCCCACCCAUGGGGCAGCGUUUGGCACUGGUUGUGAUGGUAGUGUCAUCUCCUACAGCUUGAUGUUAAACAAAUAUAAAGAGAACUAUUGCAAACCAUAAAAGAGCAACAGAAUAACCGCCGGAGUAUCGACAGGAGCAUCUGCAUUAUUAUUAUUAUCAUCAUUAUUAUUAUUAUCAUCAUCAUAAUUAUUAUUAGUGUUAUUAUUAUUAUUAUUAUUAUUGUCAUCAUCAUCAUCAUUUGCAACAGCUGUACGACUAUAUAAAGUUAUCUGCAAGAACAACAGCCAACACAAUCAACAUAGCAACAUUUAUACACAUUUAAUGGUGUCUUUGUAAACAACCAAACAACAACAACAAGCAUCAAUUAUCAACGACAACAACUAAGUCAGAUUGGUAAAAAAAACAACAGCAACAACAGUUAACCUAACGGAGUGAGGCGCUAGCAACCACCACCAUCACCACCAUCACCACCACCACAACCACCACCACCAUCAGCCACAACAACAACAACAACUACUACUACUACUACUACUACUACUACUACUACUACUACUACUACUACUAUGUCCAUGAAGUUUUCUUGAUCAGUGUACAUCUUUCGUAUUUUCUAUCUAUCUAUCUAUUUAUCUGUCUGUAUGUUUGUCUUUCUGACUAACUGUCUGAUUGUCACUGCCUCCUCUUUCUCUUCUUCUCUCUGUAUCCCACAACCUCUCUCUGUGUUUCUAUCAUCCGCUCUAUCAAUAUAAUUUACAUCCACCUGUUUCAUACGUCCGAAUCCUUUAUUAUUAUUAUUAUUAUUAUUAUUAUUAU